This 404-nucleotide ribosomal RNA is filed under the name Actinomycetes bacterium. RNAcentral's name for it is "Actinobacteria bacterium partial 16S ribosomal RNA". It matches the Rfam family "Bacterial small subunit ribosomal RNA", at positions 355 to 776 of the family's 1533-position model. The record is from RNAcentral. Lineage: Bacteria; Bacillati; Actinomycetota; Actinomycetes.
UGGGGAAUAUUGGACAAUGGGCGCAAGCCUGAUCCAGCCAUGCCGCGUGAGUGAUGAAGGCCCUAGGGUUGUAAAGCUCUUUCACCGGUGAAGAUAAUGACGGUAACCGGAGAAGAAGCCCCGGCUAACUUCGUGCCAGCAGCCGCGGUAAUACGAAGGGGGCUAGCGUUGUUCGGAUUUACUGGGCGUAAAGCGCACGUAGGCGGACUUUUAAGUCAGGGGUGAAAUCCCGGGGCUCAACCCCGGAACUGUCUUUGAUACUGGAAGUCUUGAGUAUGGUAGAGGUGAGUGGAAUUUCGAGUGUAGAGGUGAAAUUCGUAGAUAUUCGGAGGAACACCAGUGGCGAAGGCGGCGCACUGGACCAUUACUGACGCUGAGGUGCGAAAGCGUGGGGAGCAAACAGG